AUUGCUUCUCUGCCUGUUGGCUAAGAUCAAGUGUAGUAUCUGUUCUGAGCAGUUCAAAGCAGCUGUACUAUUUUGUAUUCCUGCCAGCUAUGAACUAGAGCUUCUGUUGCUCCACAUUCUUGUCAGAAUCUGGUAUUGUCAUUUUGGGGAAUUUCAA
RNAcentral lists this small nuclear RNA (157 nucleotides) under Otolemur garnettii (small-eared galago). RNAcentral describes it as "U2 spliceosomal RNA (ENSOGAG00000023114.1)". It matches the Rfam family "U2 spliceosomal RNA". Rfam says of the family: U2 is a small nuclear RNA (snRNA) component of the spliceosome (involved in pre-mRNA splicing). Complementary binding between U2 snRNA (in an area lying towards the 5' end but 3' to hairpin I) and the branchpoint sequence (BPS) of the intron results the bulging out of an unpaired adenosine, on the BPS, which initiates a nucleophilic attack at the intronic 5' splice site, thus starting the first of two transesterification reactions that mediate splicing. The record is from Rfam by way of RNAcentral. Lineage: Eukaryota; Metazoa; Chordata; Mammalia; Primates; Galagidae.